AUAUAAUUUUAGUUGAUUGCUCAAUUCUUAUCUUGUACAUUCCUAAUACCUUUUCUAACAGCAAAAGUCAGAAUUCCCGUCUUUAAAUUUUUAGUCAUCCUAAAGCCAGAUUUAGACAGACGCAAGCGUAUCACGCAUCACUGGCUAGGGCAAGCCCGUCUGGGCAAAUACUAAAAGCCAGUUUUAGUGUAUAUGUUUUAUGUACAUAGGGCAACACUUAACAUUUAUAUUUAUUGCUGCUUAUAGAACUUCCAACUAUUUCUGCUCAUGAAAUAACCGCAUUAUCAAAGCUGAAAGUGUUAAUGGAGAUAAGGUGACUUUCUAUUUUGUUUUGCAAAAACACUGCCAAUUAACACAUACUAAGAGAGCAGCACACGCCACAGGCGGCAGCCUGGGAAGAUUCCCAUGACAAGUGUUGAUAAACCUCUGGCGUUAAAUAGUUAAAGCGGCGCUUAAAACUGGACACAGAUUAACAUUCUAGUAGCUUAUGCAAUAAUUUGUAUAUAAAGUAUAGCUCAUAUCAAUAAUUUGCAUUGUAUAAUCAGCUGUAGAAUAGUGGCCGCGCCUCUCUCCCAUGUGGGCAUUGAAUGUGCUGGCUUAUCAGCUCGGCAAAGCGCUUAAAUAACACAAAACAAGACAACGCCUAUCAAAGAGCCGAAUUUUAACACCGAUUUGUUGCCAAACUAGACGCUAGGGGAGGGGGUUCGGCGGCGUUGGGUGCUGCGUGCACAUAACCUCUGUGCAUUAGCUGCAUUCACAAAUUGGGGUUGGCUAAUGACAACUGCAGAGAAAUUAAGACCAAUUGGUGCGUGUUUUGGGUUUACGCAAUGCCAGGGAAUACUUUACUGCAGUCAUUCGUCUAGGCCAAAAUUUAAAAAAUUACAUAACACCGCCACGGAUUCGCGAGGUCUGCGUUUUGUUCGCACUUUGUGGCUGCGCCGACAAUGUUGCAAAUGCAAACUUUAUGUGAAUUUGGUUAGUUAGUCCACGUAAAUGCGCAGCAUUCUUGAUUGUGUAAUUUAAUUGUAGUGCGUUUUGGUCACAGCUACCUACCAUUGACGUGACUGCAUUUUUGGCCAAAAUCGAUGGCACACGCAUAAUUCGGUACAUUUUUGAGGUUGCUGCUGCUCUGCUGUGUCUGCAAUGGAAGAUGCACUUUAGUUCAAUUUGUACGCGCACCAAAAAAGCAACAUAAAUUAAUAAAAAGUAAAAGCAAAAUCUAUACGUGUUUGUGUCUAUGUGUUCAAAACGAAAAA
Molecule: long non-coding RNA, 1256 nt
Organism: Drosophila montana
Lineage: Eukaryota; Metazoa; Arthropoda; Insecta; Diptera; Drosophilidae
Exons: 2
Source: RefSeq, a predicted model, not a curated record